This 492-nucleotide ribosomal RNA is filed under the name uncultured bacterium. RNAcentral's name for it is "partial 16S ribosomal RNA". It matches the Rfam family "Bacterial small subunit ribosomal RNA", at positions 29 to 507 of the family's 1533-position model. The record is from RNAcentral.
AGUGAGCGCUGGCGGUAGGCCUAACACAUGCAAGUCGAACGGCAGCACAGUAAGAGCUUGCUCUUACGGGUGGCGAGUGGCGGACGGGUGAGGAAUACAUCGGAAUCUACUUUUUCGUGGGGGAUAACGUAGGGAAACUUACGCUAAUACCGCAUACGACCUACGGGUGAAAGCAGGGGAUCUUCGGACCUUGCGCGAUUGAAUGAGCCGAUGUCGGAUUAGCUAGUUGGCGGGGUAAAGGCCCACCAAGGCGACGAUCCGUAGCUGGUCUGAGAGGAUGAUCAGCCACACUGGAACUGAGACACGGUCCAGACUCCUACGGGAGGCAGCAGUGGGGAAUAUUGGACAAUGGGCGCAAGCCUGAUCCAGCCGUACCGCGUGGGUGAAGAAGGCCUUCGGGUUGUAAAGCCCUUUUGUUGGGAAAGAAAAGCAGCAGGUUAAUACCCCGCUGUUCUGACGGUACCCAAAGAAUAAGCACCGGCUAACUUCGUG